GCCAUGCCGCGUGUAUGAAGAAGGCCUUCGGGUUGUAAAGUAGUUUCAGCGGGGAGGAAGGCGAUCGGGUUAAUAACCGCGUCGAUUGACGUUACCCGCAGAAAAAGCACCGGCUAACUCCGUGCCAGCAGCCGCGGUAAUACGGACGGUGCAAGCGUUAAUCGGAAUUACUGGGCGUAAAGCGCACGCAGGCGGUCUGUUAAGUCAGAUGUGAAAUCCCCGGGCUUAACCUGGGAACUGCAUUUGAAACUGGCUGGCUUGAGUCUUGUAGAGGGGGGUAGAAUUCCAGGUGUAGCGGUGAAAUGCGUAUAGAUGUGGAGGAAUACCGGUGGCGAAGGCGGCCCCCUGGACAAGGACUGACGCUCAGGUGCGAAAGCGUGGGGAGCAAACAGGAUUAGAUACCCUGGUAGUCCACGCCCUAAACGAUGUCGACUUGGAGGUUGUUCCCUUGAGGAGUGGCUUCCGGAGCUAACGCGUUAAGUCGACCGCCUGGGGAGUACGGCCGCAAGGUUAAAACUCAAAUGAAUUGACGGGAGCCCGCACAAGCGGUGGAGCAUGUGGUUUAAUUCGAUGCAACGCGAAGAACCUUACCUACUCUUGACAUCCAGCGAACUUAGCAUGAGAUGC
RNAcentral lists this ribosomal RNA (627 nucleotides) under Pantoea sp. Se2Ps_2351. RNAcentral's name for it is "bacterial SSU rRNA". It matches the Rfam family "Bacterial small subunit ribosomal RNA", at positions 391 to 1009 of the family's 1533-position model. The record is from RNAcentral. Lineage: Bacteria; Pseudomonadati; Pseudomonadota; Gammaproteobacteria; Enterobacterales; Erwiniaceae.